CCUACGGGUGGCAGCAGGGGGGAAUAUUGGGCAAUGGAGGCAACUCUGACCCAGCAAUGCCGCGUGAGUGAUGAAGGUAAUUUUAUGGUAAAGCUCUUUUCUUUGGAACGAAUAAAUGACGGUACCAAAGGAAUAAGCUCCGGCUAACUACGUGCAAGCAGCCGAGGUAAUACGGGGGGGGCAAGCGUUAUACGGAUUUAUUGGGUUUAAAGGGUGGGUAGGCGGAAGGUUAAGUCAGCGGACAAAGGUCGGUGCUAAACACCGGCCUGCCGUUGAAAAUGGUCUUCUUGAGUGCGCGAGAAGUAUGCGGAAUGCGUGGUGUAGCGGUGAAAUGCAUAGAUAUCACGCAGAACUCCGAUUGCGAAGGCAGCAUACCGGCGCUCAACUGACGCUGAGGCACGAAAGCGUGGGGAUCGAACAGGAUUAGAUACCCUUGUAGUC
This 441-nucleotide ribosomal RNA is filed under the name uncultured bacterium. RNAcentral describes it as "partial 16S ribosomal RNA". It matches the Rfam family "Bacterial small subunit ribosomal RNA", at positions 338 to 795 of the family's 1533-position model. The record is from RNAcentral.